AGCAAAAACCAAGCGAUUACCGAAACACCUACCAGCAACCUAAUGCACACAGCACCCAAUACGUUUUGUGGGAUAUAGCCUAUCCUACCAACCUCCACCCCAGCCACCACCCAACCCCCAAAACCCAUGGAAGGAGGCUACCUAGAGGCUGCCUGGAUCCACCAAGGCCAUCUGGACCCGCCUCGUGGGACGUGAUAGAUAGAGAAAUACGUUUGAAGUUCUUAAGAGCACGACCGAAUGGGAGGACUGCCUGGACCCUUCAUAUCAGAAACCGAAUAUAGUGACAAGGACGCACUUAGACCAAUUGCUGAAGCACAAAACCACUACAGGAGGUUCUCGGUAGAAGGGGGCUUCGCCUACCUGAAGAAAACACAAGAUGAAGCAACACACCCCACAAAUGAGGCUUCUAAUUAGUAUGUACCUCCUCCUGUUAUCUAGCGUCCCAGCAGAAUUAUCAAAAGCCAGUAACUGAAGGUCUAUCAACCUGCUGCAGUGUGCCUACCCAGAAGCAGUUCCGUGCCUGACAACUCAGCCUGCUGCUCUUCUUAAACAAUGUCCUGAAGCUGAAAUGGCUAGUAUUUUCAAUUAACCACGGAACUGUGCAUCAAGACAGCCUAAAAGUCCUCCUGACAGCUGCCCACCUGCUUGGUUCUUGAUUGAUGAAAGCAUAUCUUUUCAAACUUCUGGGGAAGCCCUACAAGUGACCGAUGUCCUUCAGCCGAUACCCAUGGUACAGAUCUAUGCCUGCCACGCCACGCAUUAAGGUAACUGAAAGUAAACAUUUGUUCUAUCAGCCUUCAUCCUAUUUCUAGUAGUCAUUCCUAUUUUCAGCUGUGAUUUCUCCUGUCAUCCCCUUUCCUAGAAUUCCUAUCUCCCUGUGAGACCCAGUUGAGUGAUUUAGUGUGAAAUAAUGAUAUAAGUGAUCAUACUUUGCUACUUUAAUCGAGUGAUGCUCAAACACAUUGCACAUGAUACUGAAGAGUUGAUACUCUGAGAAAUAUUGCACUGACUGUGUAAAUUUACUCUAACCAAUACCAGUGUUGCAAGCCGAAUACUUUGCAGAUUCGUGUAGGCUGCCACGUUGUGUGCCUGCUCCUAUAGAUCAACAGGGCUGCCCACCUCACUCUGCAAGUGCCAAUCUCGGGGUAGCAUAUCACUGACUGCCAGCGAUGCUCACGCUUGCUUAUAGUGUUCCACUGCAUAGUGUUAUUUUGUGUUGCUCAUUUUAAGUUCUCAAUCUAUUCUUUCAUGCACUUGCGAGGUCCCGUGGGAUAAGUGUUUUGUAAGCUGUGCGGUGAUUGGCCGACACUUAGGGGCGCCUUAUGGGGAAAAAUGCUGAUUGGCUUAGAACUGACUACCAGCUUAGUGACGUGCGCUCUCAUUGGCUCACUCUUGAGCUGCUUCCUUGUGGUUCUAACUGAGCUCUUAUGAGGCUGUAACCUCCGCGCGACACAACUUUCAUUCAUGUAGACAAAAUCGAUAAUUCCUACUGCUCAAGUAGGGAUUUCGACCUUUUUGAAACUUCUG
Molecule: long non-coding RNA, 1527 nt
Organism: Macrobrachium nipponense
Lineage: Eukaryota; Metazoa; Arthropoda; Malacostraca; Decapoda; Palaemonidae
Exons: 3
Source: RefSeq, a predicted model, not a curated record